Molecule: long non-coding RNA, 2726 nt
Organism: Taeniopygia guttata (zebra finch)
Lineage: Eukaryota; Metazoa; Chordata; Aves; Passeriformes; Estrildidae
Source: Ensembl
AAAUGUGUAAAACUUUGUGUACCAGUAGUUCUUCAUUAGCCUGCACUCAACAAUUUGAGUAAUUCUUUGGUGAAAUAAUAAAUUUCCCGCAAGCCCUUUUUAGCACAUCACUUUUGAAUUGAAGUGGCAUCUGCUCAUCCAUCAGCUCCUGAACCAAUAUUAAUUGGUGGAAUUCUCCUGGCAGAGCUGAGGCUGUCACUGCAUUCCUUCAGCUCUGGGUCAAAGAAGGAACCAGGAAAAGGUAAGCAAAGCAUUCUUCUGGAAUUUUGAGGAUUUAGGAAAGGAUUUUGGCAAAGGGUGAAGGAAUCCAAAUGCAAAGCCCGUGAGCAGAACCAGAUCCACAAAGGCGCUGGAAAACAGUGGGAGGCAAGAUGGGAGAGUGCUAAAGCCCAGGAGGCUUCCAGGGAGGCUGGGGGGGAGGCUGGGGAGAAUUCACUCAGGUUUGGGGUUGUUUUUCACAGCUCCACACCAAGCUGCAGGUGGGCAUGGCAGUGUCCAGCAAGGCAGGACACUGUAAACUGGAUUUUGAAAUUGAGGGCUGCCUAUCUGCAGAAGUGGCUGUUCCCAGGCUGGUUUUUAGCCAGGGGAAACACUUCCUUCAGAUUGCAGCCACUCUCCCAGCAGAUGCCCGAGUCAGGCUGGUUCAGCUGCACUCCUGCCUGCCUUGGCUGCAGCUGCUGAUGCCCAGGGGAAAGGAGCAACCCCGAGGAAACAGCACAGGACACCUUUAAGUGCCCUAAUGGCAUCUCAGAGCCCUGGGGAUUAGCAUCCUCAGAGAAAGGUUUGUGUGGCUAGAACAGAGAAAUGGUUUUCCUUCAUUCACUCACAAAAUCUGCACCAGUCUGGUUCUGAGCUCCUCUGAGAGAACUGCAUCUUGUGAAAACCUAAGAAUAAUAAAUUAAUAAUAAAGAACCAUCUAAUGAAUUUUAUAAUUUUUAGGAACCUUUCAAUCACUGGUUCCUUCAGUUGAAUUAGGAGACAGAAACCCCAAAUCUAUUGGGGUUUUUUAAAUCUCAGUACACAGGAGCAUUGACUCCUCUAAUGCAAUGUGGUUAUUUUCUCAGGAAUAAAAUUGCUGCAAGAAUCCCCUCUCCCUUGUGCCCGUAGGCUCCCUCAGCAUCACCCACCCCUCAGUGUAGGGUGGAAACAUUGAUGGAAGGAGUUAAUUUGGGCAGAGGAAGAGCUGAAAUAGCCAGUGAGACUGCACAUCCCUGGUGUGUGAAUUAAUGCUGGGGCUGGGUAAAUUCCCCAGUUCUGGCUGCUCAACAGAGGCUUCAAAAUUUACUUAUUAGGCACUAUUUAUUUAUUCUGUGGGAUUAAUUCCUUCAAAAGGGACACAAAACUGUCACAAGGGUCUCUUACCUACCUUGUGUUUUCAGGCAAAGAACUAGAGGUGUCUCCAGUCCAUGUGCAAAAGUAACCGUGGUAUUUAAAUGCUUUUCACAGCUAACACAGCCCCAGCUUAUCACGCAUUAAAUGGCUUUCUCAGGACAGCAGCCAUAUAUUUUUGUACUGACCAAUAUGUUAUAUAUACUGCAAGUAAAGCCAUAUCCACAUAUUGUUGUGUUGAAACAACAAAACAAGAUUUAGAAAUGCAUAUCCAACUUUAAUACAUAAUCUGAAGAGCAGAGUUCCUUCUGCACCUUGAAAAUUUCACCUUUGAUUAAACGAUUACAAUCUUCCCUCAGAUAAAAUACAUAUGUGUGUGUAUAUAUUUAUGUGUACAAUUUCAAAAUCAAAGCCUUGCACUCCUGGAUGUCAUCUGCUGGCACUGGGAGCAGAUCCCAGCACCCCAGAAUGCAGCCUGGCAGGAAUUAAUCUCCUGCUUGUGAAGGGCUCCCUAAUUGCCCUGGGCUUUUUCCCUUUUGAACUGCCUCCCUAACCUGUAAUUUCUCUGCCACCUGCCCAAAGGUAAAUGAAGAAUCUGCUACACCCAAGGAAUUCCUCACCUGCUGCAGGUGACUCCAGAGGGGAGUGUCCAUCCCCAGGGAGGAAUGGAUUUCCACGUGGCAGGUUUCAGCAAUAUCCCCGGGCAGGAGAGCUGCUCCUGCUCCCAUCCCUGCGCUGCUGGGGAGCUGAGCAGAGCAGCAGGGAGGCCUUGCUGGAGCCUCCUCCUCUGAGCUCCAGCACGAGACUGAAACUGGGAGAGAUUCUGAUCAUUGAGCAAGUAUUGACUUGAUUUAAUAAGGCAAGAAGAGCCUCAGAGAGCAAUUGCUGCUGCUGCUGAGCAAUUCUGCACCUUCAGCCUGGCACACUUCUUGUUCCCCCUUUUGCAAAGUCAGGGUUAUUCUUGCUUUUGGCUUUUUGCACUUAGGCAAAGGUGUUCCCAUGGAUCCUCCACUGCCUGGAGGAGUUUGGAAAGAUUUGCUGUUCAAAAGGAGCUGGCCAAGGGCAGUGCCAUGGAAAAGUGGGGAGGAGGCUGCAGGAUAAAAUGCAGAUCAGCACAGAGUGACAAUGGGUCUGUGGCAGCCAAAGAAAGGGCUUGGACUGAAAUAUGAAAAUACCAACUUCCCUCCUUUCCCUCACUUUGAGAAAUCUUUCCCUGCUGACAUCCUGGUGGCAAGCCCCUUCUUUCAUUGUGGCCUCUGCCUUGUUCCACGUGUGACUCCAUGAAAAUAAUCAAUCCCAUCCAGCUUCUGUAACCAAAACUCUUCCCUGGUGCUCAAAACUAAAAAAUUAAUUUCAAAUCCACUACAGAUUUCAUACAAAAAAAAAAAAAAAAAAAA